RNAcentral lists this long non-coding RNA (425 nucleotides) under Gallus gallus (chicken). Lineage: Eukaryota; Metazoa; Chordata; Aves; Galliformes; Phasianidae. The record is from RNAcentral.
GCUGAGCCUCUCCAUGUCAAAGGCCACGUUCUCUGUGCACGGCACGUUUGGCACAAUUCCCAGGGCCUUCAAAAUGUUCAGUUUACACAUUGGACACGUACAGUGCUCACUAAGCCACGGGUCCACACAGGCUUUGUGGAAAACAUGCUUGCAUGGUAAAAUGCGAACAACAUCGUUCUGUUUGUAACUCUCAAUGCAGACAGCACAGUGAUCAAAGUCUGGGUCUGUCUCCUUAUCUCCCUUCUUUACUGUCCUGGUUGUCAAUUUACCAACGGCUUUCUUGGCAGCAUCUCCAAGGCGACGCUGAUUCCUAUCACGUGCACUUGUGUACCUGAUCUUCUGGAUGAAGUAAAAUAUUAACCACGCUGAAGAAAUUAUCAUCAAAACAAUGAAAGAUAUUGACACAAAGACUAGGGAGCCCCGAC